CUACUACAGUAGUUAUGAUUUUAUAUUUUAUUUUUAAUUAGAAUAUCUAUUAAAUUAGUGCUAGCAUUUAGACAUUUUUUUAAAUUAGAUUUAUAAACUAACUACUGUUUACAACCUAAGCAAACAAAGGCAUUGUUGACAGCAAAACAAUGACAAUGUAGAUAGGUUACAGGCUAUAAAGAUUUUAAUUCUACUACAUUUAGGUGUAAGUUAAACUACAUUCAGUUUUAAAGUUUAAAUUGUUAAUGUCUACUUUCAAACUACUUAUAUUUUCUAGUUUUAUAUUAUGCUAAUAUUUUAGUUUGAAUCUGUGUUUUAUUUCUACUA
Biomphalaria pfeifferi is the source of this 327-nucleotide non-coding RNA. Lineage: Eukaryota; Metazoa; Mollusca; Gastropoda; Planorbidae. The record is from the annotation of a GenBank genome assembly.